This is a long non-coding RNA of Perca flavescens (yellow perch), 641 nucleotides long. RefSeq lists it as uncharacterized. The record is from RefSeq and is a predicted model, not a curated record. The transcript is spliced from 3 exons. NCBI's taxonomy places the organism in Eukaryota, Metazoa, Chordata, Actinopteri, Perciformes, Percidae.
UUCAUUUGAAUGUGUUGCUGUGCCUACUUUAAAGAAAGUUUACUGUCCUUUCAAAAGCCCUGCAGCCUGCUUAUCUGGACCACAAGGCAGACUCAGGAGAUAACACACUGAGGAUAAAAUAGCAUCUGCUGGACUGCUAAAGAAAGAGGCACGCAAGGCUCACAUCACACAAGAUUUCCUUAUCAGAGCUUCCUUCAACCUGCAGUGCAAUACAGAGAGAUGUCUGGCUGCAGGGAUGUUUGGAAGCUUGCACCCUUCCCCCUGCCUUAUCGUGAGAAGGCUGAAUGAAAAUGGAUGAGAGCCAGCUCUAAGUAAUGCUGACCUGCUGACAGAGUCACAACUUUGGCUCCGGUCCAGUCCAAAUGAACCCACUUUGGCCCUUGUUCCAGCACGGAUGGCUCACUAUCUCGGCCUUCACUCAAGGUCACCGUUCAAUACUUUACAUUUCUGUUUCCUGAGGCGGGUCAUGUACUGUGUUUUUUUUUCUUUCUCUCUAUCUGACCAUAGAGAGAAUUGGACUUUUUCAGUGGCAUUAAACGUCCUGGGGCUAAAGCCUGAAGCCUGACAUUCUUGUGGGUUUCAUCUUUAGGUUGUGUAGCCAGUUUAAUAUGGUAUGGCUGUGUGUUGUGCGCAUCUGUUAU